ACACCACCGAUCUGAACAUCAUCGGACGCCGCUAGAAGCAUCCUGCAACCAGUACCGUCACAUUUGUCACUGUUGGAUGGAGAUUAGAUCAUCGACUGCAUCUGUUCCCUCCCUCUUCGCCAUCGACUGCAUUCUUGUCACUUUCGAAGGGGUAUUUAUGGAGGGGCUCCUUUUUGUUUCAGUGUGGCGAUUUUUGGGUUUCUUGUGACAUACGUGGCGUUUUUUUGGGGUUUAGGUAUUGUAAGUCGCUUCUUUGAAUUCCCAUCUUCUCUUCUCUUGUCGUCUUCUUUCUCUGUGUUUUGUUGUUCUUUCAUGUAAUAGAUUCUUCCAUUGAUAUUCCGUCAUCUAUGAUUUCCCUUUCUAUGACCUUUGAUUUCCUAUAUUUUCGUUAUGUCUGACGUCUGUUUGUAGAUAUUGUCCUCGCUGCUGUCCUCUUCUUCUUCCUCAGCUUUGCGUCUGGGCUUUUACAGGUAAUACAUUUGUCAUUGAUCACUGCCACUUUCUGUGAUCUAUCUAUACAAGUUCUGCAAUGGAGGUCACUACAUUUAACCAGACAUUCCCAGAUGCUGAAUGUCCAUUUCUUUUCCCUAAAUUAAAACUUCAAAACGAAAAUUUCAUUGUGUGUUGAAACUUGAAUGAGGACAUUAAUGGUGGUACUUCAUUGAAUAGUCGAUUCGAUGGUGAUUCAUGAUGGGGUUUUGAUUUUUGAUAUCUCUAAUGAACAUGGAUCAAUGUAGAUUUAGAGUUUGUUGUUCUUCAUGAUUGCAUCUUCCUUUCUAAUAAAGGUGAAAAAUCCGUGCGUACUUUUUGUUUUUGGUAAACACAUUGCUCAACUUUGGCCUAUUAAAUACGUUGUUCUACAAAAUCCAUCCAUAUAUUAACUCAAAAUUGGUGUAAAACCAAAACAAGAGAUGAUUGCAUCAAAAAACCAGAUUAUUGAUUCCUACUCUAAUAUGGAAGUACAAAUAUCAUUAAGAAUCAGGAUUAGAUAAUUGACUGUUAAAAAAAAAAAGAUUAAUGUUCAGCACAUAUGACCCUGAAUUAACAAAAUGAUACAAGUGUAAAUGCAAAUAAACCCUCAUUUGUUUUUUUAUCCAAAACUCUCCACUUUUACAAACUGUAAUGUUUCUUUCUUGUAUUUAUGCAAGAACCUUUGUUUGUAACAAAUAUUAAAAUUAUAUUUUUAGUUUUAUAUUUUAUAAUUAAAAAUCAUGAGUAUCAUAUAUGCAAUGCUGUCAAGUUAUUGAAGGUUUAAAGUGGUAGUCUGAUAGACUUAUUGACUUAUUUCAUGUGUAUUUUACAUUCCAUUACGAUAUAGUGUGCUGCAAUUUCCAUGUUUUUUUUGCAGAUACAUGAUGAUUAAUAAAAGGACAAAAUGAGUUACAUGAAGAUAGCAUAAUUCACAGGGUUGUAUGAGAGUAUGAGAUGAGUCCAAAUAUUCGCAACUAAUCAACAUAAAAAUUGACCAAAUCCAUGAUAGAAUCUUACCUAUAGGAGAACGGCGACUACGAAGAACUUCAUGGAAUUGUGAACGAAGGUUGGCUGCUGAUUCGACGGACUCCAUCUUCUCAAAAUUAUUACAAGCAACAGUGACGUGAACACGUUGAGAUGAUAUGUUGUGUUUAUAUUUAUAGCAGAGUAAUUGCGAUACGGGAGCAGGUCAGAGUGAUGGAACACCUCCGAUAUGUGGUGGUUGUACUUGUAGGUGAUAGCAUGCGAAUGGAGGGACCAAAUUACUAAAAUGGUUCCCGUGGUUUGUAAAAAUUUCACGUUUGGUUUUUACAUUUUCUUUUACACUUGGACGAUCCCUAAGUUUUGAUUUUAUUAUGUUUUUUAUCCCUCA
Molecule: non-coding RNA, 1843 nt
Organism: Lactuca sativa (garden lettuce)
Lineage: Eukaryota; Viridiplantae; Streptophyta; Magnoliopsida; Asterales; Asteraceae
Source: RefSeq, a predicted model, not a curated record